UGGGGAAUAUUGCGCAAUGGGGGCAACCCUGACGCAGCCAUGCCGCGUGAAUGAAGAAGGCCUUCGGGUUGUAAAGUUCUUUCGGUAUUGAGGAAGGUUGAUGUGUUAAUAGUACAUCAAAUUGACGUUAAAUACAGAAGAAGCACCGGCUAACUCCGUGCCAGCAGCCGCGGUAAUACGGAGGGUGCGAGCGUUAAUCGGAAUAACUGGGCGUAAAGGGCACGCAGGCGGUUAUUUAAGUGAGGUGUGAAAGCCCCGGGCUUAACCUGGGAAUAGCAUUUCAGACUGGGUAACUAGAGUACUUUAGGGAGGGGUAGAAUUCCACGUGUAGCGGUGAAAUGCGUAGAGAUGUGGAGGAAUACCGAAGGCGAAGGCAGCCCCUUGGGAAUGUACUGACGCUCAUGUGCGAAAGCGUGGGGAGCAAACAGGAUUAGAUACCCUGGUAGUCCACGCUGUAAACGCUGUCGAUUUGGGGGUUGGGGUUUAACUCUGGCGCCCGUAGCUAACGUGAUAAAUCGACCGCCUGGGGAGUACGGCCGCAAGGUUA
Molecule: ribosomal RNA, 547 nt
Filed under: uncultured bacterium
Lineage: Bacteria
Description: bacterial SSU rRNA
Rfam family: Bacterial small subunit ribosomal RNA
Source: RNAcentral